AUUGAACGCUGGCGGAAUGCUUUACACAUGCAAGUCGAGCGGCAGCGCGGGGCAACCUGGCGGCGAGCGGCGAACGGGUGAGUAAUACAUCGGAACGUGCCCAGACGUGGGGGAUAACUACUCGAAAGAGUGGCUAAUACCGCAUACGAUCUAAGGAUGAAAGCGGGGAUCGCAAAGACCUCGCGCGUUUGGAGCGGCCGAUGGCAGAUUAGGUAGUUGGUGGGGUAAAGGCUUACCAAGCCCGCGAUCUGUAGCUGGUCUGAGAGGAUGAUCAGCCACACCGGGACUGAGACACGGCCCGAGACCUCCGUACGGGAGGCAGCAGGUAGGGGUAAGUUUUGGAACAAGUGGGACGAACGCCUGACUCCACGCCUA
This 375-nucleotide ribosomal RNA is filed under the name uncultured bacterium. Its description in RNAcentral is "bacterial SSU rRNA". It matches the Rfam family "Bacterial small subunit ribosomal RNA", at positions 29 to 395 of the family's 1533-position model. The record is from RNAcentral.